RNAcentral lists this non-coding RNA (30 nucleotides) under Homo sapiens (human). The record is from RNAcentral. Lineage: Eukaryota; Metazoa; Chordata; Mammalia; Primates; Hominidae.
UCACCUGUUUCACAGGAAACGACAGCCAGC